RNAcentral lists this long non-coding RNA (1359 nucleotides) under Jatropha curcas. RNAcentral's name for it is "long non-coding RNA (JCUR_LNC003241)". Lineage: Eukaryota; Viridiplantae; Streptophyta; Magnoliopsida; Malpighiales; Euphorbiaceae. The record is from RNAcentral.
AGAAUUGAAUAAUUAAUUCUCUAGAACUUAAUUUAAAAAUUGAGAAACAAAAAUAUUAGAAUCAUUCUAUAACUAAUAACAGUCAAUUAAGAAAUCAAUUAAGUAAAGAUCAUACAGAAAACCUCUUGCAGAUUAAGUAGGAGUAAGACACAUUGUAGAUUGGCCAUGGGAAAAACAUCCGCAAAACUUCAACAUAACAAAACCCAUAAAAAGCAUACCAAUCACCACCCCACCACCCAAACUCCCACAAACCCACCAAACAUUAACUGAUCUCUCGUUCUCCACGGGCGCCUUCUCUUCUAUCAAGCCUUCAACCACAAUAUUUUCCUGCUCCACCUCCCCAUCUGUAUUAUUCAAACACGACUCGUUGCACAAACACGUGGAAGCCGUCUCUUCAUGGACAUGCGGCGGCGUUUUGUACUCGUUCCAUUUACGAAAAGCAGUUUCAAGCUCUGACACUCUCUGACCAAUGUGCUGCAAGUGGUACUGUGGCUUCUCGGGGCUGGACACGAUUUCCGUUGAUAAGAGAGUUUUCAAGAAGUCGAGUUUUUGAUCAAAGUCUUGAGUGUAUUCUUCAUGGUAUGGAUUGUCACUGUCAAGAGGAAGAGAAAAGAGUCGAUUGAGAUAGGAUUCGAGUUCUUGAACUCUUUUUUGCAAGAUGGAGUAUCGCUCUGUUGCCAUAGUUGGUGCUGUGUGUUUGUCUACGUUGCUGUUAUUGUUGUGGCAUGGGGAGAAUGUGAGUGUAGGAAUCUGCAGUUAUUUGUUGAUGUGGCUUUUGGUGAGACGGUUGCUUUGGUUAUAUGUUGAGUUAUUGCUUAUAUAUGUGACGGUUGAGGCACCGGGCCUCCCCUUUAAGUCACCAUUUCAAUAUUAUUAAUGGAACACCAGAAUAAAGCUUGCGGAAACCCUUCUUGUAAAGGAGAUGAGAAGUUAAAUUGGGCCCACUGAAAUAAGCACAGUGUCAGCAAUCUCUAUUAAUUUGCAUUAAAAGCCCUUUGGAGCCCAACGGACUUGCGUAUACAAGCCCAAACCUAAUCUCAUCAAAUUAAGGCAUGUCUGUAGCAGAUUAGAGCAUGUUAAUUUACCACUGAUCAUGUUUAUUGAGAUUUUAAAUUUUAAAUACUCUCUUUCACAGAUUUGUGACCAUGUUAAUGUUCUUCUUGUGGAUUUGAGCUUGCAGGUAAUCUACUCUAAUUAAUGGCUUACUCUUUUCCUUGAUUGAAUUUGUCUGGUAGACAGGCAUUAUACUAUUAUUGAAUUGCUAACUAACACUGUUCCUUUCUGUCUUGGUCUCCUAGUGUUCUGUCAGGUGUAUACUAUUUUUGUCUCAAAAUAUAAAUUAUUUUGUGUAUUUCAAGA